RNAcentral lists this ribosomal RNA (247 nucleotides) under uncultured bacterium. Its description in RNAcentral is "partial 16S ribosomal RNA". It matches the Rfam family "Bacterial small subunit ribosomal RNA", at positions 523 to 769 of the family's 1533-position model. The record is from RNAcentral.
AUACGGAGGAUCCGAGCGUUAUCCGGAUUUAUUGGGUUUAAAGGGUGCGCAGGCGGGAGAUUAAGUCGGCGGUGAAAUUUUGCAGCUUAACUGUAAAAGUGCCUUCGAUACUGGCUUUCUUGAGUGUGGAUGAAGUAGGCGGAAUUUGGGGUGUAGCGGUGAAACGCUUAGAUAUCACGAGGAACUCCGAUUGCGCAGGCAGCUUACUAAACCACUACUGAUGCUCAUGCACGAAGGCGUGGGGAUC